GUUUGUAUGUGGUGCUGAGGAUCGAACCCGGGCCGAACGCAUGCCAGGCGAGCGCACUACCGCUUGAGCCACAUAACCCAGCCCCAAUUAUUUUUAUUUUAUCCUUUUAAUUUCUCUUUCUCUGGGACUCUCAAUAAGCUGAGAGUUACAAUAUUAAGCCACAAGGAUAUCCCAAUUUACAUUUCCAAACUGCCACCUGCCAGUUUCCUUCACAAACCUGAUUUUCUGGGCAGACGGAUUCCCUCUGCCAAAGGAACAUGACAGGUUUCUUGCUGCCUCCAAACUUCAGCUCAUACUUGCCCCUUCACCCAGAUCACCCGCUUCUGCUACGCUUUGACAGCUCUUAAAAUCCAACCUCUCAUUUCUUCAAGAAUUUUGCAUGAUUCCCACCUGGAGUGCCCAGGAUCUUCUGAAUGUAGCUUUUAUUGUGUCUUAUACCCACUUGGUCACUUUCUGUAUCACCAUCAGGAAACAUUAGUGAAAGUCUUUCAAAUGGGCAAGGAAAAGAAAAGUCACUGAAUGUCCAGUCUAGGGUACACUUCCAGUCUUUUGUGGUCUUUGACAAUUCUGUGAAUCAGAAAAAGAAUAAUAAUGCAAAUGAUUUGUGUCCAUAAAAAUGCAAAUUACUUAAGUCCAGUAGAAUUCGAUCAAUUAUUACCCUGUGGAUAGACUUCUUUUGUAUCUAAUUGUAACAUCAUUUCAACAUUCGGAUGAUGUAUGUGUGUGUGUGUAGCUUUUGGAAUUCUCCUUCAAACCAGUUAGAAUAUAUUAUGUGAAUAUACUAUUAACUAAUAUAUUAAUAUUAUAACUAAUAUUAAUUAAGCCACAAGGAUAUCCCAAUUUACAUUUCCAAACUGCCACCCGCCAGUUUCCUUCACAAACCCGAUUUUCUGGGCAGAUGGAUCCCCUCUGCCAAAGGAAUAUGACAGGUUUCUUGCCGCCUCCAAACUUACAACUAAUAUUAAUAUAUUAGUUAAUAAUAUAUUAACUAAUGACGAUUAGUUAAUGACUAAUCCUCAUUAGUUAAUGACGUAAAUAAAAUCUUUAUAUUUUCU
This 1055-nucleotide long non-coding RNA is filed under the name Marmota monax (woodchuck). Lineage: Eukaryota; Metazoa; Chordata; Mammalia; Rodentia; Sciuridae. The record is from RNAcentral.